GCGGGCCCUGUCGGAGUGCCGCUGGACACUGCCUCGAGAUUUCAAAACCACCAUGGCGAUCUACGGACUCCGUACAACACUUAUCCGGACUUAGAAUCGCGUUUGAGAGUGUGCAGGAUUCCACAGUGGAGCAGUUGAUACAGGUGGAACCCCUGGAACGGAGUCUGGGCCAACGUUGCUUGGAAUUCGUGUCAAAACUAGAGUCACUCUGGAGUUGCUUUU
Molecule: long non-coding RNA, 222 nt
Organism: Rhododendron vialii
Lineage: Eukaryota; Viridiplantae; Streptophyta; Magnoliopsida; Ericales; Ericaceae
Exons: 2
Source: RefSeq, a predicted model, not a curated record